CAGGGAUUGCCCUAGUAACGGCGAGUGAAGCGGCAACAGCUCAAAUUUGAAAUCUGGCCCUAGGCCCGAGUUGUAAUUUGCAGAGGAUGCUUCGGGCGCGGUGCCUUCCAAGUCCCCUGGAACGGGGCGCCGGAGAGGGUGAGAGCCCCGUACGGUUGGCGGCCAAGCCUGUGUGAAGCUCCUUCSACGAGUCGAGUAGUUUGGGAAUGCUGCUCUAAGCGGGAGGUAGACCCCUUCUAAAGCUAAAUAUAGGCCAGAGACCGAUAGCGCACAAGUAGAGUGAUCGAAAGAUGAAAAGCACUUUGAAAAGAGGGUUAAAUAGCACGUGAAAUUGUUGAAAGGGAAGCGCUUGUGACCAGACGUGCGCCGGGGUGUUCAGCGGGCGUUCUCGCCCGUGCACUCGCCUCGGCGCAGGCCAGCGUCGGUUCGAGUGGGAGGAUAAAGGCGUCUGGAAUGUGGCUCCUUCGGGAGUGUUAUAGCCAGACGUGCCAUGCUCCCGCCCGGACCGAGGUACGCGUUCUGCAAGGACGCUGGCGUAAUGGUCUCCAGCGACCCGUCUUGAAACACGGACCAAGGAGUCGAGGUUUUGCGCGAGUGUUUGGGUGUUAAACCCGCACGCGUAAUGAAAGUGAACGUAGGUGGGAGCUUCGGCGCACCACCGACCGAUCCUGAUGUUUUCGGAUGGAUUUGAGUAAGAGCGUAGGGCCUCGGACCCGAAAGAUGGUGAACUAUGCUUGGAUAGGGUGAAGCCAGAGGAAACUCUGGUGGAGGCUCGCAGCGGUUCUGACGUGCAAAUCGAUCGUCAAAUCUGAGCA
RNAcentral lists this ribosomal RNA (815 nucleotides) under Chloridium gonytrichii. Its description in RNAcentral is "partial large subunit ribosomal RNA". The record is from RNAcentral. Lineage: Eukaryota; Fungi; Ascomycota; Sordariomycetes; Chaetosphaeriales; Chaetosphaeriaceae.